CGGAGUCUGAGCACACACGUUGGCACCCGAAAGAUGGUGAACUAUACCUGGACAGGACGAGGCCAGAGGAUACUCUGGUGGAGGUCCGCAGCG
RNAcentral lists this ribosomal RNA (93 nucleotides) under Mysmena sp. MYSM-015-THAI. Its description in RNAcentral is "partial 28S ribosomal RNA". It matches the Rfam family "Eukaryotic large subunit ribosomal RNA", at positions 790 to 882 of the family's 3401-position model. The record is from RNAcentral. Lineage: Eukaryota; Metazoa; Arthropoda; Arachnida; Araneae; Mysmenidae.